CGAGUAGGCGGCCUCGUCAGUCGGGCGUGAAAUCCCGCGGCUCAACCGCGGAACUGCGUCCGAAACUGCUUGGCUUGAGUCCCGGAGAGGGUAGCGGAAUUCCCAGUGUAGCGGUGAAAUGCGUAGAUAUUGGGAGGAACACCAGUGGCGAAGGCGGCUACCUGGACGGGUACUGACGCUGAUGCGCGAAAGCGUGGGGAGCAAACAGGAUUAGAUACCCUGGUAGUCC
Molecule: ribosomal RNA, 229 nt
Filed under: uncultured bacterium
Lineage: Bacteria
Description: partial 16S ribosomal RNA
Rfam family: Bacterial small subunit ribosomal RNA
Source: RNAcentral